GAAAGGGUCGCUCAGCCUGGCCAGAGCGCCCACCAUCGCGGUGGGUGGCCUGAAAUAGAGCCACGAUGGUUCAAAUCCAUCCCCUUUCG
RNAcentral lists this transfer RNA (89 nucleotides) under Halogranum amylolyticum. RNAcentral's name for it is "tRNA_Undet_???". It matches the Rfam family "tRNA". Rfam says of the family: Transfer RNA (tRNA) molecules are approximately 80 nucleotides in length. The record is from RNAcentral. Lineage: Archaea; Methanobacteriati; Methanobacteriota; Halobacteria; Halobacteriales; Haloferacaceae.